UACGGGGGGGGCAAGCGUUGUUCGGAAUUACUGGGCGUAAAGGGCGUGUAGGCGGCCAACUAAGUCCGACGUGAAAUCCCCAGGCUUAACCUGGGAACUGCGUCGGAUACUGGAUGGCUUGAAUCCGGGAGAGGGAUGCGGAAUUCCAGGUGUAGCGGUGAAAUGCGUAGAUAUCAGGAAGAACACCCGUGGCGAAGGCGGCUCUCUGGACGGCAACUGACGCUGAGGCACGAAAGCGUGGGGAGCAAACAGG
This 253-nucleotide ribosomal RNA is filed under the name uncultured bacterium. RNAcentral's name for it is "partial 16S ribosomal RNA". It matches the Rfam family "Bacterial small subunit ribosomal RNA", at positions 524 to 776 of the family's 1533-position model. The record is from RNAcentral.